CUUAUUUUAUUUAAUUUAUUUUUUGGCAUGUAGUCCUCGCUGCAGCUGGCAUGGCCUUGCUAGAGAUCUCAGAGGGCUCGCUAUACUCUGCUGUGGCCAACGUGGGGAAGACUGAAUGAUGGAGAGCCUGUUAUACAAACCACAGGGGAACACUUGCCAUUGUUUCUGCUAUUGUCCCACAGUUGUUUAAGAUGGAAGCAGGAGCCCCUGGAAGCUUUCAGAGAAGAAGCUAGCCAGAAACUCACAAGCCCUUUCCUUGAGAAGCUCUGGCCCCAUCACUGCGGAGUGCUGGCCAUGCUCCCUGGUCACUGCCCAUGGGACGGCCAGCUCCCGGGCAGGUGGUGCUAAGCAGGUUGGCGGGUGUUACCCCUCCCAGUCUCCUCAAGAUUAGAAUCUGUUCCAGGCCACCAGACAGAGCUCCCUGCCAACGCUCUCACUAGAACUGUUCCUGGAUGUGCUUCGAGAGCUGUGGCCAAGCUCUUGUGACAACACCUCCUGGAAUAACAAAGGGAUCCUUUGUGGGCAAUCGGCUCCAGCUAACAGCUUGCGGAUGGCUGGACUCCCUCUGGCAUUUUCUUUUCAAGACAGCCGCCCCCCCAUUCCCAUCCAUUCAGCUCAAGACAAUCUGAGAUCGUACACAGAUAAUUGGGCCAUUUGUUCAACCUGAAGAGAUGAAUGUUCUCCAUGUUAGGGAAGAUGGUCACCAGCAAUCCAACUGGCAACAUUGCAGCUCUGGAAAUGAAGGCAGCUCCACGGUCUCUUCCCCCAUCCCUUGAUUACCCGUGUGGCCACAGGGUGGGGUACAGUGACUAGAGAGUCCACUAGAAUGCCAUGAUUGGAGUGAGGGUACAGCAGUUCCCCAAAGUGGGGCAAUUGAGGUGGCCCUGAAGAGGAAAAAACAACAGACAUCCAGGAGAAAAUCACUGGAGCUUGAGGGGCCUCUAGGAGGACACAUUCUGACCUGGAGACCUGGAGGGCUCCCGUGAGAGGAACAACUGAAAUCUCCAACAACCACAGGCUGAGGAGCUUGGGCUGGGCAGGUUUACAAAGACCACUGCCUCAGAAAGGACCGCGAGCGGUUGAUCUGCAGGCUCUGAGCAUGAGGCAGCAGCAAAUGGACCCUCACUGGGGACACCCAGAGGCCAGGUCCCGUGCAGGACCAGGAGUCAGCAGCCAACCCCUGCUCAUCUGCUGGGGGUCCGUGGUCCGCUAAGCGGCCCCACAGAGGGCCCUCUCCCAUCAGGCUGGCUCUGGGAUGACUGGGUGGUGGCCCUCACAGCAGUAGCUAACAUUCUGGGAACCAGACUCCCUGGGCACUGCCCCACUGCCUCCUGCCAACAGUGCUGUUAUGUGGAUUUUAGGCUUUAGAAUCAGAAACAGGCCCUAAAUUAAGCACAGAAAGAGAGAAAGGGUGGGAGGGAAAGAGAAGAGGAGAGACUGAGGAGAUAAAGGGAGGCAGAGAGAGAAAGUGUUGGAAGGACACGGGACAGUUGAAGGAAAAGACGAACAGCCGCUUUCGGGAUAGACUGGGGCAGGACCAAAGCCUGCUGCUCUGCCGACCCAGGACCAACCCCCUUCAGUCCCUGUGACUGCCCCGGAAGUCCAGUUCCCAGGACUAACGCGGGCCGGUACCUGCCCCUGGGAUCAGGGAUCAGGUUCUGUGAUUGACCACCCCACCAUGCGGAGCUGAGGAGGGGCCACUAACUCAAAGGAAGGGUGAGAAGGAGGGAAGUAUAUUUUGGACAGACAAAACCAGCAGCUCUCAGGCACCACUAGCUCCAUUUUCCAGGUGAGGAGACAGGCUUAGGGAGGGGGCAGGACUUGUCAACAUCACAGUGACAGUGAGUGACAGGACUUCAGCCCAACUAGCUUGACUGCAGUACCACAUCUUAAUCACUGUGUUUGCUCCCCACCCAAUCACGAUGGGUGCCUGGUGGGGACACCUCAUUUGAUCACAAAUCGUAAUUUAACAAAAUAACACAGUGGUUAAGAGUUUGGGGACCUGUUAGAAGGUCACUACAGUCAAACAGGCAAGAGAGGAAAGGACUAGCCUGUCCCAAGACAGUAGAUACGAUGACAGGAGGACAUGAAUCAGUAGAUGCCAGAGAGUGUGAGAAGAAAUCUGUCACGAUUGAGAACUCACAGGACUGGGAAGGGAGGAAGGAGUGGGGUCUACAUUGGCCUCAGGCUUCUGGUUUGGGCAGUGGGUGGAUGGAACUGUCCUUCACUGAGGUGCAAAGCCCAGGAGGAGGAAGCGGUGGCAGUGGAGGUGGGAGAGAGAGGAGUUUCAUUUUGGAAAUGUUGGAUUUGAGGUGCCUGCAGGACACCCAAGUGGAAACGCCCAGUGUUCAGUGGGUCCGUGGGGUGUGGAGCAUGGGAGAGAGCCAUAGGUGGAGCUGGUAUUCCCCCAAUGGCGUGGUAUAGUAUGAGGCUGGCAAAGGCCUGAGGACGGAGCCUGGGCAUCAUGGCAUUUAGGGGCAGGGAAGCCUUCUCAAGUGAGAAAGCAUCAGUAGCUCAUUCUUUCCUUGCAUGAGUCUGAUUCUGUCUGCCUCUUCCUUCCCUGUCUACUCCCCCAACUUUGCCUUACCCAGGUAAGUCAUUGUUUUUUUUUUUUUUUAGAUGAGUUUCACUAUUGUCACUCAGGCUGGAGUACAAUGGCUCAA
This 2663-nucleotide long non-coding RNA is filed under the name Homo sapiens (human). RNAcentral's name for it is "HSALNT0316770". Lineage: Eukaryota; Metazoa; Chordata; Mammalia; Primates; Hominidae. The record is from RNAcentral.